UACGUAGGAAGCGAGCGUUGUUCGGAGUUACUGGGCGUAAAGAGUGCGUAGACGGUUUUCUAAGUUUGGUGUGAAAUCUCCCGGCUCAACUGGGAGGGUGCGCCGAAAACUGGGGGGCUAGAGUACUGGAUGGGAGAGUGGAAUUCCUGGUGUAGCGGUGAAAUGCGUAGAUAUCAGGAGGAACACCUGUGGUGUAGACGGCUCUCUGGACAGUAACUGACGCUGAGACACGAAAGCGUGGGUAGCAAACAGG
Molecule: ribosomal RNA, 253 nt
Filed under: uncultured bacterium
Lineage: Bacteria
Description: partial 16S ribosomal RNA
Rfam family: Bacterial small subunit ribosomal RNA
Source: RNAcentral